CUUGUCUUAAUAAACCAAUUCUACUUAAGACUACUUUAUAUCUAGGCCAUAUAAAGCACUUUUUGAGGCACAAGUUAAAUCUUCCAUUUGAUUUUACUUUGUACUGUGGUCCAUUAAAUUGGAAUGUUGAUUACCACACUAUAUUAAAAUUAAGGCCAACCAUGACAUGAAAAAUAGCUUUUAUGCUAGAUCUAUUUUUAUUUUGUUAAGGAGAAAGGGACGCCUUGAUUGUCGUAUUGAUUUUGUUUUCUUUUUGUUCCAACAGAUGGAAACUGAUGAAGAGCUGGAAGGAGUUAACUGAUGAGUAGACAUUACAACAUUUCUUAUAUUUUCAAGAUGAAGCUGAAAGUCCCAUGCAGGAUGAUGCUUCUCUACAGUGGAUGAUGAAAGCAUGCUGAUUACAAACCCAGGAGAGGAAUAAAGAACAGAUAUUGACAGAAUCAUAUCUAUAUAUGGGCCUACUGCACUUCAUACAAGCAAGUGUGCUAAUAUACCAUACUUGGGUUAUCAUCACAGCCCUUUUUUCUGAAAACUAGCCUACAACUUCAUCGAUGAAUGCAGAAGACAUCUACAUGGGACUACGUCUUAAAGAUGCCCCCUCAUAUAAUGAAAGAGGACAGUAGAGAUGGGUUUAAACUUGAAUAUUUACAUACUAUUUAUUUAUUAUUUGUAUU
Strongylocentrotus purpuratus (purple sea urchin) is the source of this 674-nucleotide long non-coding RNA. RefSeq lists it as uncharacterized. The record is from RefSeq and is a predicted model, not a curated record. NCBI's taxonomy places the organism in Eukaryota, Metazoa, Echinodermata, Echinoidea, Camarodonta, Strongylocentrotidae. The transcript has 3 exons.